UGGCCCAUAGUGUAACGGCAGCACGACUGACUCUGAAUCAGUUAGUCUAGGUUCAAAUCCUAGUGGGCCAA
Molecule: transfer RNA, 71 nt
Filed under: Pirellulaceae bacterium
Lineage: Bacteria; Pseudomonadati; Planctomycetota; Planctomycetia; Pirellulales; Pirellulaceae
Description: tRNA-Gln
Rfam family: tRNA
About the family: Transfer RNA (tRNA) molecules are approximately 80 nucleotides in length. Their secondary structure includes four short double-helical elements and three loops (D, anti-codon, and T loops).
Source: RNAcentral